GCAAGAAUUUCCUCCAAAGACCUUUGCUUCCUCCUGACAUUCUAGAGCUGCCCAGAGAUCCAUGUUACAUUGUCCUCUUGAUCCAGUGGGCCCUGAUAAUGAGUGAUGCAGGAAGAACUGGCUGGAGGGUUACACCUCCUUGGGAUGAUUAUUGGUUUCUUUGAAGUGUCGUGUGAAGCAUAGAAACAAAGGAAUAGAAGGUGUAAGGGACAAGGCACUUUUUGCUGGAGGAAAGAAAGCGCACUGAACUUUCAGUCAUCUGCACCGAUAUUCAGCGAGACUGGGAUCGGUUGCAGUGAUGAGGCGUGGACCCGUGGAACUCUGGAGACCCGUGAAGAAUUGGGAUUUUGGGAGAGCCAUGGAUUUUGGGGGACCCAACUUGUCCCUCUGUCUAGCCACGUGGCUAGUUGGUGGCUAGGUUGCCAUUUGUUUCCAUGGAUGCACAAUAGGUCUUCCUCUGAAGUGGGAGAAAGAGGAGUUGAAACAAGAUGCUAGAUGUCUUUACACUGUUCUGGGAUUUCCAUUGGAAACGUUGGGCAAAAUCUUGGAAGCCAUUGGGAGUUUUGCCAUUAUUUCAUCCUUUGCAGGGGCCAGGAUUUCACUCUUUGUGAGCUUCUUAGAGGAACAUGCUAUCUGCAGCCAGGGAGCCCAAACUUCAUCACCCCACAGAUCCCCUAAUACAUAUUGUUUAUCCAUAGGCAGUGCCACAACCCUGGGGACUCCAUCUUUCUCCUGAGCUCCCCGUCCACGUCCAUGUUCCCCUCCACAGUGUGUAGUGGAGGAAAACAAUAGGUUCCUUGGCUGCAUGCUUUAAAAAACUCACACUUGGUUGACUGAAGAUAAGAUCCUUCCCUAGUGGAUGUAAUGUUAGAUUUAGUGUAGUCGUUGGAUUGCCCUUUACUGGACUACAAAAAGGGCACUGAAGGUUUGGAAAAGGGACAGAGAAGAGUAGACCCGAGAUGAGAAAGGGCUGAAGGUUUAUAAUUAUAUGGAAAUUUAAACAAAGGGACAAGGGGCUAUAGCUACAAGGGUUAUAUGCAAGGCUGAAGAAUUACAACAAUAUAGGAGGUGUGGCAUGAAAUGGGCUUUCAAAGGCAGCAAUAGACCCUGCUACUCUGAGUAUAUUUUGAAAAAGAGUUAGCGCACAAGAAAACAACAACCUAAGGCAUGGCUAUUAGAAAGGUGGAUGAGCCUAGAUGGACCAUAUUGCCAUCCAGUGCUGGAAUUUCACUGUUAGAACUGUUGGGAUCUUCCCUUUCUGAGGUGAAAUUCUGUCCCUAUUGAAGUCAGUGGGAGCUUUACCCUUAUGGUGAGCAUGUUUGAAUGGGUUUUUUGAUCCCUAUGACCAUCCGAGUGUGCAGCUCCCACUGACAUCAAUGGGAGUUCAGCACAUGGCAGAGGAUAGAGCCCUGUGUGAAUCCCUUGAAAAAUAAUUCAUCGUCUCUGCCACCAUAGUGUAAAUGCACCAGAGUUUUUAUAAAGUGGGGGGGGGAACGCAGAAGAACCCAACCUCAUAUCCUUUACUUUGUAGCCCCUGUGUUGAGGUAAUGAGAAUACUCUUAGUAUGGAACUCCAGGACUGUAUGGGCCUGGGGCAAAAACUCAUUCCCUGGAACAUGAGUGUGACUGAAAGGCAAGGGGCUUUGUCAACUUAUGAUUCACAAGCUAUAGACAAACAUGUUUCUGUAUCUACAUUACUGCUAACACUCUAGAGGAUUCUGAGAAAAAUGUUACUAAAUUAAGCAUUUCAAUUGUAUACAGUGGAUGUAACGCUGUGGGCUUCUU
Long non-coding RNA from Mauremys reevesii (Reeves's turtle), 1784 nucleotides. RefSeq lists it as uncharacterized. The record is from RefSeq and is a predicted model, not a curated record. The transcript is spliced from 3 exons. NCBI's taxonomy places the organism in Eukaryota, Metazoa, Chordata, Testudines, Geoemydidae.